This 1204-nucleotide long non-coding RNA is filed under the name Struthio camelus australis. RNAcentral's name for it is "lncRNA (ENSSCUG00000011164.1)". The record is from RNAcentral. Lineage: Eukaryota; Metazoa; Chordata; Aves; Struthioniformes; Struthionidae.
UCUUAGCUUUAACAGUGGAAGAAACCCCAGACAGCUCUUGUUCAUCCAUCCCUGCCUCCUUCAAAACCACUCCCGAAGUGGCUGCGGUGGCCGUGGCGGGCGCGGGGUCUCGGCAGGCAGGCGGGCGGGUGGGCAGAUGCGGCCAAAGGUAGCGGGGAACUUUGCAGGUGGCGGUGGAGGGGAAGGCCCCCUUCCCUGCCAGCCUCUCCUAUAUUUCUCAAAGGUACUGAGCAUGCACAGUUUCUGUUCGCUUCAAAAAUCAGGCCAUGAAAGAAUCAUAAAUAUAUAAUAUUAUACUCCUAUGAUAUUAUGAGUGGAGAGCAGGAGAGUUAAAUGCAUACAUUGAGGAGAGGCAAAUUACAUAGAAAGGGCCUUACUGCGCGAUUGUCGAGCGAUUCUAAAAUGAAAUAUUUUAAAAUCCUUCCCAGAAUAAAUUUAAUUCCUGCAUGCUUGUUCCAGUAGGCAAGGAAGUCUGCUGGAUAUCUAGCAACAAUUCGCAGACUUAGGGCAGCCUUUAGUGCUCAUAGUGACUUUAGCACUGAUAAAACAGUUUUUUUUUUAAAUGCUGAGCUGAAAAAUAAAAAAUCCAUUCUAUAAAAGAGCAUUGACAUUUUGGCAUUUGUUUUAUGACAGAAUGAAAUAAAGGGCAUUGCAACAUUUUCUGGAGGAAAUACAGGAAUGUAUCUCACACCAGCCCAGCAGACCAAAGCAGAGGCCAAACUUGAACCCAGGCCUCCAUGUGUGAGCUCAGUGAUCUUCUUUCAACUGUGCUGAGAUGUACCCUCCAACUCGUCUUAAAACGUGGAACUGCUGUACAUUGCCUGUGGGAAAAAAGCCUGAAGCCACAUAGUGAUGUAUCUCUUCAACAGUGUGAAAGAGAAAUUCCCUAUUCAGAGUCUUGCACAGUCAACAUUACCUGCUGGAAAUUUCACAUAAUCUUUUCCAUUCGUCAUCAGCCAGGUUGCUGAUUACCAGAGUAACUGCCAAGCUUUCAACUCCUUGUCAUCAAUGGGCUGUGAAUGACAGACAGCAUUAAUGUUGGCAAGCUCCCACUCUCCUUUUCGCCUUUCCCAAAUGUAAUUAAACCGCGCUAAUACAGCAAAAGAAAAGCUGCAGCUUUAUUUUACUCACCCUAAUAACAUAACAAUUAAAUCACAGAAGCACACAAUGCAGUCAAAUAAACCCAUCAUGACAAGGAAAUUCA